GCCCCACCUUUGCAUCCCAGUCCUUGGAUAUCUCACACGCACCCUUUCACUGUUUCUUAGUAAUUUGUUUGUCUACAGACACAGACGGGAAGCGGGGACGGGGACAUGUUUUGUGCAUGGCUUGAUGCCUGGUGCACGAUGCCGCUCAGUAGUGGAUUUGCUCCACGAGCGUCUUCUGAGCACCGCCCCAAUGCCCGCCCCACGGAGGGGCCCCUGUGGUCCGCUGGGCAUGGGGUUCGCUGUCCGGUGCUCAGAGUUUGCUAAAUACCAUCAGGUCCAAGGCAAGCGAGCGGAGGAGCUGCCUCAGCAGAGGCCCUCAGUGCUCACCUAGACCUGGCAGCUGGGAUGGGACCUGCCAGGUGGUGCCCCCUGUGGCCUGGGCCAGACCUGUUCACCCAGUUAUUCCCUGUGGGGCCUGAAGGUUGUCACGCUCAUCAUCAUAUUUGCAGUUUAGGACCCUGAAUCGGCGGGUGGGCGGAUAAAGUUGGUAUUGGACCCUGGCCCAGAGCACUGCACUUCCCCAGACUCUACACCUGGUACUGCUCCUGCUCCCCAGGGACCCAGCCGCGUCCCUGUCCCUGCUGGCCCCGGCUCACCAUCGCUCAGAAUCAGCUCGACCGGCGCGCUGUCCCCGGACCAGCCGUUUUGGUUGUCAUGCAGCCGGUAGCGGCAGGUGUAGUGACCUCCAUCCCCCAGGGCCACCGCGUUCAGGUGAAAGAAGAUGCGAUCUGGGCUGGUGCUGCUCCUGGGUACCAGCAGCUCUUUCUCCCCGCGCCGUAGCUGGAAGUCCACUCCACUCAGGGGAGCCACGCAGGUGAGGGUCACCUUGUUGCCAGGGUGCAGGACCUGGGAGGACUCUCCAUGGUGCAUCAGCACAGGCGGUGGUGGUGCAGCUGCAAUGCAGGCAGCAUUACUAGGCUGCCCCA
This 926-nucleotide long non-coding RNA is filed under the name Homo sapiens (human). Its description in RNAcentral is "HSALNT0263083". Lineage: Eukaryota; Metazoa; Chordata; Mammalia; Primates; Hominidae. The record is from RNAcentral.